RNAcentral lists this ribosomal RNA (383 nucleotides) under uncultured bacterium. Its description in RNAcentral is "bacterial SSU rRNA". It matches the Rfam family "Bacterial small subunit ribosomal RNA", at positions 29 to 398 of the family's 1533-position model. The record is from RNAcentral.
AAUCAACGCUGGCGGCGUGCCUAACACAUGCAAGUCGAACGCGAAAGCCCCGCAAGGGGCAAGUAGAGUGGCAAACGGGUGAGUAACACGUGGGUGACCUGCCUUCGAGCGGGGGAGUAACGUCCCGAAAGGGACGCUAAUACCGCAUAACAUCCUGCCUUUGAAGAGGUGGAGAUCAAAGCUGGGGAUCGCAAGACCCGGCACUUGAAGAGGGGCCCGCGCCUGAUUAGCUAGUUGGGGGGUAAUGGCCUACCAAGGCAACGAUCAGUAUCCGGCCUGAGAGGGCGGACGGACACACUGGGACUGAGACACGGCCCAGACUCCUACGGGAGGCAGCAGUGGGGAAUUGUUCGCAAUGGGCGCAAGCCUGACGACGCAACGCC